UCCAAAAACUUUGAGCACCCCUGUUCUAAAACGACACAUUCACUCGCGACCACAAAUUGAAAGCGCCAAAAACUGCUCUGACAGUUUCCUACCGUUUGUCACUCCCACACCAAUCGCUACAGAAUACCCUCUCUUUGCUCUCCCUCUCUCUCCAACCGGGUAGUACAGCGAAUGGUUCAGAGAGACCGAUUGCGUAAUGUCGCUGAGUCGAAAUAGUUUGCGAUCGGCUUUGUUUUACUCAGUUAAUAAACUGCUUAAAAUCAAUGUUAUCAAAAAUGUUUUGCACUUUUGUUGACUACACGGCAUGAAAGACAUACUUACAAGCAAUUUCCAUCAUGCCAAAUACUAAUUAAGCAUAAGCAUAAGCAUAGGUGCCCACCCGCAGUUGCUACUCCGUUAUUGACCAGGACCUCCAGAAGUUACAUCCACGAGCCGUGGAAGAUCAGUGGGAGCUAUCUUUCCUCGCUUCGCAACUUCUCAAAGGCCCCUAUCAUGCUGAUCAAUACCGGCGCCGGCCACGACCAGUGGUAGGGUCACGGGGAAGUGGAUGGGAAUGUUAGUCCGAUACUUGAGUGAUAGAGACCGCCCAAUCGACUGCAUCUCCGACAAAGUAUCACAUGAGUUUUGAGGGGGUUAGUAGAUGGGUAUGAGGUCAGGAUUCACGAGUGGCAGUGAUGUGACCAUGAGCAUUUUGUUUAUCGGUUGAAAAUUUUAAAUCUUAGGCAGCCGGCUGCGGAAAGAUAGAUAAUUGAUCAUUUAAAAAGUUUUUUUUUAUCGAACGCGUGCCAGCCGAGCAGUAGUGCUAUGGGCUGGACUUAUCAGUAUAUUUUUACAAUUUAGAUAACGCGAGCAAAUUUCAAAAAUAGUAAAUAAAUGACGCUUUACUCUUCAUAAAAUCGAUCGAUGCGAGUUGGAAUAAAUUUUUACGAUCAUUUACGAUGAAAAUUAUCGCGAAAAGAACAGGACUGCGCGUCCCCUGAAGCACUGCACUUAUGAUGUCCAAUAAGUUAUAAUAACCAAUCACCCCAUGCACACAAACAGCGACAUAAAAGAAAUGAAAAAGAGCAUGCAAAAACAAGACAGCGCGUCCGCGUGGUCAGCGCACUAAUGAUGCCAUUAUUUAAUUGUAACAACCACUCACCCAAGCACACAAACAGCGACAUAAAAGAAAUGAAAAUGAGCAUGCAAAAACAAGACAGCGCGUCCGCGUGGUCAGCGCACUAAUGAUGCCAUUAUUUAUUUGUAACAACCACUCACCCAAGCACACAAACAGCGACAUAAAAGAAAUGAAAAUGAGCAUGCAAAAACAAGACAGCGCGUCCGCGUGGUCAGCGCACUAAUGAUGCCAUUAUUUAAUUAUAAUAACCACUCACCCAAGCACACAAACAGCGACAUAAAAGAAAUGAAAAAGAGCAUGCAAAAACAGGACAGCGCGUCCGCGUGGUCAGCGCACUAAUGAUGCCAUUAUUUAAUUAUAACAACCACUCACCCAAGCACACAAACAGCGACAUAAAAGAAAUGAAAAUGAGCAUGCAAAAACAAGACAGCGCGUCCGCGUGGUCAGCGCACUAAUGAUGCCAUUAUUUAAUUAUAAUAACCACUCACCCAAGCACACAAACAGCGACAUAAAAGAAAUGAAAAUGAGCAUGCAAAAACAAGACAGCGCGUCCGCGUGGUCAGCGCACUAAUGAUGCCAUUAUUUAAUUAUAAUAACCACUCACCCAAGCACACAAACAGCGACAUAAAAGAAAUGAAAAAGAGCAUGCAAAAACAGGACAGCGCGUCCGCGUGGUCAGCGCACUAAUGAUGCCAUUAUUUAAUUAUAACAACCACUCACCCAAGCACACAAACAGCGACAUAAAAGAAAUGAAAAUGAGCAUGCAAAAACAAGACAGCGCGUCCGCGUGGUCAGCGCACUAAUGAUGCCAUUAUUUAAUUAUAAUAACCACUCACCCAAGCACACAAACAGCGACAUAAAAGAAAUGAAAAUGAGCAUGCAAAAACAAGACAGCGCGUCCGCGUGGUCAGCGCACUAAUGAUGCCAUUAUUUAAUUAUAAUAACCACUCACCCAAGCACACAAACAGCGACAUAAAAGAAAUGAAAAUGAGCAUGCAAAAACAAGACAGCGCGUCCGCGUGGUCAGCGCACUAAUGAUGCCAUUAUUUAAUUAUAAUAACCACUCACCCAAUUUCCAUCAUGCCAAAUACUAAUUUACGCCAAACUGUGGUAGUGCCGAGCUGGUAAUGUUGUUAGAUCCCUGUUUGAAAAAUGUCGCACCCCUGUUUGAAAAAUGUCGCACGUCGUACGAGUUGUCGCACGGUUUUCAUUUUACCGUUUCGAUAUCGAUUGGUCGAAAGGACGACAAACGUGCGACAAACACUCGACAUGCUCGACAUUGUUUUUUCCAUCGAUUUACCUUCAAUUCGACGUCGAUUAUCGUCGACGCAAACAGUUUAACAGUUCUCUUCAGUUGAUCUUGUUCGGACUUGAUCAAAUCAGAAAAACAAUAUUGUUGUAAAGGUUCGUGAGGAUUUUGGCUGGUUGAUUGAUUUCCUGAUUUCAGCCUUCGCGACGGUGGAAGAGAACGUGAAACAUCGUUAACCCGGCGGAUCAUGCCGGAAGAUGGGACGGGAAGGAACCGGUCUGCGAUCGGAAGCGGAUUGGGUUGAAAACGCUUUUUAUGAGCUGUAAUUGAAUGUCAAAGUGCUGAUAUGGCAACAUUAAAGGCACGCUGGAAUUAGAUGCCAUUAUCAAUACUAAGACCUGGAAAAAAGAACAAACUUGCGGCCGAGUACAACCUUUGAGUGAAAGCGAUGGAGGUGAACGAACUACUCACGGGGCAGCACACGAAUUCUACCGGAUUGGCCAUCAUCAAGCGAAAUUUGGAAAAUUGUGACUGCAGUGAUAGUGAAUAUUUGGAAAACAAAGUGCCAGGCCAGUGAAAACCAAUAGAUAUCAAUAAAAAUCAGCAAAACAACAAAUAAAAUGAAUUUUAUUUCGAAAAUAACCUAAAAAUUCCGAAAUGACAGCACACGACAAUAGCACGACAUCUUAAAUAACAAAACCGUGCGACGUCGGUCGAAUGUCGUACGACAAUGUCGAACAAUUUCGAUGAUCGAUCGCACGACAAAUACGACAUUUUGGUGCAAAAACGUAUGACAUUCGUGCGAAUGUCGCACGACAUUGGCGUGCGACGUCGUACGAUUGCACGUACGACAAACGACGGACGUCGGACGGACUUUUCAG
Culex pipiens pallens (northern house mosquito) is the source of this 3247-nucleotide long non-coding RNA. RefSeq lists it as uncharacterized. The transcript is spliced from 3 exons. The record is from RefSeq and is a predicted model, not a curated record. Lineage: Eukaryota; Metazoa; Arthropoda; Insecta; Diptera; Culicidae.